CCCAUAUGGACUCAUUAUCAUGCUCUCUGUAGAUCCAGGGUGGCGUCCAUCAGCACUCUGUGAAAGUCCAUUACUUUGACCGCCUUCUCAUGAGGAAUGUGUCUGGCACGGCAACUUGUCAGACUCCCAUCUCCACCUCCCCUACCUCUGUUCCACCAACAUUGUGGCUGCCCCAAGUCACCUGUGGGAAAACAGACAUGACUGUUAAACUACCUGCUGGAAUGCUGAUAGAUGUGAAGGUGCUUGGUCCAGAGGCGUUGUUGCACGUUCAUGAUGGAUACAGUGUAACUCAGUGGAAAAGUCUCAAUGCCUUGUUUGUCAAAUUUUCCCAAUCAAAUGUGGAGUAUGGCAGUCUCUCGCUUCAACUGGUUUAUCAGAACUCUGCUGGAGAGUUGUCCACCACAUUGGCAUUUCAAGACAUCAAUGCCUGCAGCAUUCAUCACAAGUGAAUGCAUCACUGAUGACUACUGGUGUGCAUCAUGUAAUUUUAACAACCAAUGCAUAUUUCACUACAAUAUACCAUUUUUUCAUAGUGUAACUUGACACCAUCGAUAAAGGCUGCUAACCUAAGGCUUUUAUACUCUUCACCAGCUAUGUAAGUUAAUGCUCUUGUCAGGUGUUUUGUUAUACUUUUAUGUUGGAAUGCGUGUAUAUGACAGGAUUCAAGACGUAGAUUCUAUAUUUAACAACAUGGCAUAGUAUUGUAUAUCAUUAUAAUUGCUACCAGGAAUAUCCCUUUAGGAAUAUUAUCGAUCCAUUUUUUUUAUAAAAUAUAUAAAUGAGUGAUACAAAUACUGACCAAAAACAAUUAUGAUGUGUUUUUGGCAAAAGUUGUGAAGAUUUUUGCUAAUAUUUUACAAAGAUGUAUUUUACAAACCUGGCUAAGUUGGUUGUGUUACCUGCAUAACUAUAAUCAUAUUUCAGUUAUCAUUGGGCAUAUUCCACCAUUAUUGGAAGAGUUGUAGCAAUGUCAUACCAAUCCAAUUAAAACCAAUGGAGCUGGUUGGCGGC
RNAcentral lists this long non-coding RNA (1011 nucleotides) under Salmo salar (Atlantic salmon). Its description in RNAcentral is "lncRNA (ENSSSAG00000086154.1)". The record is from RNAcentral. Lineage: Eukaryota; Metazoa; Chordata; Actinopteri; Salmoniformes; Salmonidae.